This 253-nucleotide ribosomal RNA is filed under the name uncultured bacterium. Its description in RNAcentral is "partial 16S ribosomal RNA". It matches the Rfam family "Bacterial small subunit ribosomal RNA", at positions 524 to 776 of the family's 1533-position model. The record is from RNAcentral.
UACAGAGGUCCCGAGCGUUGUUCGGAUUUACUGGGCGUAAAGGGCGCGUAGGCGGCAAAUCAAGUCAGCUGUGAAAUCUCCGAGCUUAACUCGGAACGGUCAGCUGAUACUGUUUUGCUAGAGUACAGAGGGGGCAAUCGGAAUUCUUGGUGUAGCGGUGAAAUGCGUAGAUAUCAAGAGGAACACCUGAGGUGAAGACGGGUUGCUGGGCUGAUACUGACGCUGAGGCGCGAAAGCUAGGGUAGCAAACGGG